RNAcentral lists this transfer RNA (92 nucleotides) under uncultured Marvinbryantia sp. Its description in RNAcentral is "Selenocysteine transfer RNA". It matches the Rfam family "Selenocysteine transfer RNA". The record is from RNAcentral. Lineage: Bacteria; Bacillati; Bacillota; Clostridia; Lachnospirales; Lachnospiraceae.
GGAGUAGAUAGGUGCUGGUGUGCCUCCUGGUCUUCAAAACCUGUGAUAGCGGUUAACUCCCGCUUAGGUGGGUUCGAUUCCCACAUACUUCC